RNAcentral lists this ribosomal RNA (528 nucleotides) under uncultured Thermoplasmatales archaeon. Its description in RNAcentral is "bacterial SSU rRNA". It matches the Rfam family "Archaeal small subunit ribosomal RNA", at positions 348 to 879 of the family's 1478-position model. Lineage: Archaea; Methanobacteriati; Thermoplasmatota; Thermoplasmata; Thermoplasmatales. The record is from RNAcentral.
CUGUGCAAUGCGCGAAGCGCGACGCGGGAAACCUGAGUGCCUUGACAAUGUCAAGGCUUUUCUUAAGCCUAAAAAGCUUAAGGAAUAAGAGCUGGGCAAGACGGGUGCCAGCCGCCGCGGUAACACCCGCAGCUCGAGUGGUGGUCACUUUUAUUGAGCCUAAAGCGUUUGUAGCCGGUUUUGCAAAUCUUCAGAUAAAUUCCUCUGCUUAACAGAUGAUCUUCUGAAGAGACUGCGAGACUUGGGACCGGGUGAGGUUGAAGGUACUUCCGGGGUAGGGGUAAAAUCCUGUAAUCCUGGAAGGACGACCGGUGGCGAAGGCGUUCAACUAGAACGGAUCCGACGGUGAGGAACGAGGGCUAGGGUAGCAAACCGGAUUAGAUACCCGGGUAGUCCUAGCUGUAAACACUGCCCACUUGGUGUUGCCCCUCCGAUGAGGGGAGGCAGUGCCGGAGCGAAGGUGUUAAGUGGGCCGCUUGGGGAGUAUGGUCGCAAGGCUGAAACUUAAAGGAAUUGGCGGGGGAGCAC